AUCAGUCGGAAGGAGUUCGACAAAUCUCCUCACGGAAAUAAGAUUGACAUUAGAAUAGGUAACGCCAACGAUACGAUGCUGAAUAUGGCGAAGGAAGGACAAACAUUUGACUUCAUCUUCGUGGACGCAGAUAAAGACAACUACGUAACGUAUUACAAUACCAUCAUGGAUCACGGCCUUCUGGCGGCUAACGGGACGAUCGCCUUCGACAACGCUCUUCUUAGUGGCCUUGCAUAUCUUAAUACUGACGUCCCUGUU
Haliotis rubra (blacklip abalone) is the source of this 258-nucleotide long non-coding RNA. RefSeq lists it as uncharacterized. NCBI's taxonomy places the organism in Eukaryota, Metazoa, Mollusca, Gastropoda, Lepetellida, Haliotidae. The transcript has 3 exons. The record is from RefSeq and is a predicted model, not a curated record.